This 796-nucleotide ribosomal RNA is filed under the name Raffaelea sp. RNAcentral describes it as "partial large subunit ribosomal RNA". It matches the Rfam family "Eukaryotic large subunit ribosomal RNA", at positions 56 to 879 of the family's 3401-position model. The record is from RNAcentral. Lineage: Eukaryota; Fungi; Ascomycota; Sordariomycetes; Ophiostomatales; Ophiostomataceae.
GAAAAGAAACCAACAGGGAUUGCCCCAGUAGCGGCGAGCGAAGCGGCAACAGCUCAAAUUUGAAAUCUGGCCCUCGGGCCCGAGUUGUACUUUGGAGAGGAUGCUUCUGGCGCGGCGCCGUCCGAGUUCCCUGGAACGGGACGCCGGAGAGGGUGAGAGCCCCGUACGGGCGGACGCCAAGCCUCUGCGAAGCUCCUUCGACGAGUCGAGUAGUUUGGGAAUGCUGCUCAAAACGGGAGGUAAAUUUCUUCUAAAGCUAAAUACCGGCCAGAGACCGAUAGCGCACAAGUAGAGUGAUCGAAAGAUGAAAAGCACUUUGAAAAGAGGGUUAAACAGUACGUGAAAUUGUUGAAAGGGAAGCGCCUGUGGCCAGACUUGCGCCCCGCGGACCACCCGGCGCCUCGGCGCCGGGGCAUGCCAGCGGGGUGCAGGCCAGCAUCGGCUCUCUCGGGGGGACAAAGGCCGCGGGAACGUAGCGCCCUCGUGGCGUGUUAUAGCCCGCGGUGCCAUGCCCCUGGGGGGGCCGAGGACCGCGCUUCGGCAAGGAUGCUGGCGUAAUGGCCACCGGCGGCCCGUCUUGAAACACGGACCAAGGAGUCAAGCAUUGGGGCGAGUGUCUGGGUGGAAAGCCCGCACGCGGAAUGAAAGUGAACGUAGGUGGGAGCCUCGGCGCACCACCGACCGAUCCUGAUGUCUUCGGAUGGAUUUGAGUAGGAGCCCCGCCGCUUGGACCCGAAAGAUGGUGAACUAUGCCUGUAUAGGGUGAAGCCAGAGGAAACUCUGGUGGAGGCCCGCA